UGACCUCGUGAUCCGCCCACCUCAGCCUCCCAAAGUACUUUACAGCAUGAGCCACCACGCCAAGCCUCCUUUUUUAUACAGAAUAGCCAUUUAACAUUCAGCUAAAUGGAUAUGCUGUUAAUAUAACCCAGGGUAUGUUCCACUAACAAACAAUCCCCAAAUUUCAGUGGCUUAAAACCACAAAAUUUUAUUUUUGGCUAGUGCUGUAUGUUUCUCAUGAGUUGACCAGGAGUUCUGUUCCAUGUCUACAUCAGUAAGCCAUCCAGGCAAAUGCAGCAAGCUUUAUCUAGUCAUUUUAGCAGUAGGAAAGAGAAUUUUAGAGAGACUUAUACUAAAAUUAAAUGAUUCCAUUUAAAAGUGGCAGAACUUAUUUCUGUUUAUGGCAUUGGACAAAAGGGUUAGAUGGCCAUAUACCACCUGAAUAGAAUGAGAAAAUGCUGAAAAUAUUUAGGCAUCCCUAAUAACCAGAGGGUCUAUCAUACCUUUAAAAACAGUUUUUUACUGAUGAUCCUUUAACCAUUUUCAAUUAUUUGUGCACAUGUAAUUUUGCACAUGUGCAUGUAUCUAUAGGAUAUAUUCCUGGAAGUAGAAUUUUGCAUGCAUCUUUACAGGUCUACCUGUGGCACACAGCACACCAGGAAUUUAGUUUCUCUGCUUGACAUACACUGAACACAGAUUAUUAAAAUUAUGUAUUUAUUUUUGAGGUGGGAUAUGAAAGCAAAAAGGUAUUUCAGUGGAGGUAUUUUCUUCAAAGAUCUUAGGGAUAUGUUUUAUAAUUUUGAUUUGACUAAAUGUAUUGGAUAAGGAAUAUUAUGUUUCUUGGCCUUUAGCUGCUUUAAUAUAUUUAGUUAUUAUAUGUAUCUUCCAGAAAUCUUCCAACGGCUGGGUGCAGUGGCUCAUGUCUGUAAUCCCAGCACUUCGGGAGGCCGAGGAGAGCAGAUCACUUGAGCAGUGAAUAAUAUAACUGCCUGACUAGAGAGGAGGUAUCUUAUGGUUACGACAACUGAAGACCCACCACCAAAAUAAGGAAAAAAAGACGAUCUCUAUACAAGAGUUUCAAAUUAAAAUAUACAGCACCACGCCUUGUGAAGAUUCUUUUGGCACCUCCAGCUCUUUGGCUUCCUGGGAGCAAACAUCUCUCUCUCCGUGCCAACUGUACCUUCUAAGACAGGCUGCCUUAAACACUCUCUGCAGGAAGGCAUCGAGUACCCAGAGAAGACAGCUGACUCUGAGUGGUCUCUCUCUAGUUAGCCUUUAGGGAAAUAGUUGGCCUUAAACAUAAAUGCUUUCUUGAAUUUAAAAUUUAAACCAUGAAAUGACUUUCAUUUAUAGCUUUGAGCCACUGAAAUUCCAACAUGAAAAAUUCCAAACAACAUUCUAUUAUGUACGCAUAUACAAUAAGUUCAAAAGGCAUUUC
RNAcentral lists this long non-coding RNA (1417 nucleotides) under Callithrix jacchus (white-tufted-ear marmoset). Its description in RNAcentral is "lncRNA (ENSCJAG00000074128.1)". The record is from RNAcentral. Lineage: Eukaryota; Metazoa; Chordata; Mammalia; Primates; Cebidae.